This 253-nucleotide ribosomal RNA is filed under the name uncultured bacterium. RNAcentral's name for it is "partial 16S ribosomal RNA". It matches the Rfam family "Bacterial small subunit ribosomal RNA", at positions 524 to 776 of the family's 1533-position model. The record is from RNAcentral.
UACGUAGGUCGCAAGCGUUAUCCGGAAUUACUGGGCGUAAAGCGCUCGCAGGCGGCCUUUUAAGUUUGACGUGAAAGCUCCCGGCUUAACUGGGAGAGGUCGUUGAAUACUGGAAGACUUGAGGAAAUGAGAGGGGUGUAGAAUUCCCGGUGUAGUGGUGGAAUGCGUAGAUAUCGGGGGGAAUACCAGUGGCGAAAGCGGCACCCUAGCAUUUUUCUGACGCUCAUGUGCGAAAGCGUGGGGAGCGAACGGG